This 305-nucleotide ribosomal RNA is filed under the name uncultured bacterium. RNAcentral describes it as "bacterial SSU rRNA". It matches the Rfam family "Bacterial small subunit ribosomal RNA", at positions 333 to 654 of the family's 1533-position model. The record is from RNAcentral.
GUGUGCCUACGGGGCGCAGCAGUCGGGAAUAUUGCGCAAUGGAGGAAACUCUGACGCAGUGACGCCGCGUAUAGGAGGAAGUUUUUCGGAAUGUAAACUAUUGUCGUUAGGGAAGAGAAAGGACAGUACCUAAGGAGGAAGCUCCGGCUAACUACGUGCCAGCAGCCGCGGUAAUACGUAGGUGGCAAGCGUUGUCCGGAUUUACUGGGUGUAAAGGGCGUGCAGCCGGGAGUGCAAGUCAGAUGUGAAAUCCCGCGGCUCAACCGCGGAACUGCAUUUGAAACUGUGCUUCUUGAGUGCUGGAG